RNAcentral lists this ribosomal RNA (395 nucleotides) under uncultured bacterium. RNAcentral's name for it is "partial 16S ribosomal RNA". It matches the Rfam family "Bacterial small subunit ribosomal RNA", at positions 523 to 918 of the family's 1533-position model. The record is from RNAcentral.
AUACGUAGGUGGCAAGCGUUGUCCGGAAUUACUGGGUGUAAAGGGCGUGUAGGCGGAGCAGCAAGUCAGAAGUGAAAUCUCCGGGCUUAACCCGGAAACUGCUUUUGAAACUGUUGCCCUUGAGUAUCGGAGAGGCAGGCGGAAUUCCUAGUGUAGCGGUGAAAGGCGUAGAUAUUAGGAGGAACACCAGUGGCGAAGGCGGCCUGCUGGACGACAACUGACGCUGAGGCGCGAAAGCGUGGGGAGCAAACAGGAUUAGAUACCCUGGUAGUCCACGCCCUAAACGAUGUCAACUGGUUGUUGGGUCUUCAUUGACUCAGUAACGAAGCUAACGCGUGAAGUUGACCGCCUGGGGAGUACGGCCGCAAGGUUGAAACUCAAAUGAAUUGACGGGG